CCCAUGCUAGCAUGGAAAGCGGACGCUAAACGAUGAUAAUGACAUACAUGUAUAUAACAAAUUCUCCUCAUAAUUAUGUUUUUAUUUUUGUCUCUUCAACAGGUGCAAAUAUGGUCGAUCUAGGAAUGGGAACACCAGGAACAGGUCAGCCCUACCCACACACCCACGGUUAUCCCAGUGGCUACCCACAUCAUGGGUACCCACAUCAUGGGUACCCCCAUCCUCCUGUUCCCCAUCCCGACCACACAACACAUUCAGGUGCAGGAUAUCAUCAUCCUCCUUAUGGUUCUCCAUAUGGUUCCUAUGGUUCUCCAUACGACCACCAUUAUGGCAAUUCUUACCCUAAUUUUCACCAUGACUCACACACUGGACACUACGGAGAAGGUUUCUACCCAUUUACACAUGGCCCAAUUACACAUGCCCCAUAUCCACACGUACAACAAACCUAUUUGCCCUACCAAGGUGUACCCCUUGCCAUCCCAGAACUACCCUUUAUCAACCAGCCCUACAAUAACUACCCACGCAUUCAGCCCCCAGUCUACACUUCAAAUCUGAACCCCUUCCAAGGCAUCCCUUUUAACACCCCUUACCACUUCAACCACUUUGGCAACUUCUAAUGGCAAUGGUCUUAUUACUGUUGUAAUGGUCCAAGAAUUGAAAGUAGAAAUACCGAAGUUCUUCAACUGAAGGUGAUCAAAAGAAAGAAGGAAAUAAAGAGAGAAACAAAAUACCAAAAGGGACACCAACAUUCAAUGACCCUUUA
Long non-coding RNA from Octopus sinensis (East Asian common octopus), 763 nucleotides. RefSeq lists it as uncharacterized. The transcript is spliced from 2 exons. The record is from RefSeq and is a predicted model, not a curated record. Lineage: Eukaryota; Metazoa; Mollusca; Cephalopoda; Octopoda; Octopodidae.